RNAcentral lists this long non-coding RNA (26337 nucleotides) under Populus tremula. Its description in RNAcentral is "long non-coding RNA (PTRE_LNC001309)". The record is from RNAcentral. Lineage: Eukaryota; Viridiplantae; Streptophyta; Magnoliopsida; Malpighiales; Salicaceae.
CCCUUUCUAUUACAAAGAUCAUUGCAAUACUUAGUAGAUGCAAACGGAAGGGAUGUGAGCUAUCUUAGGCCAGUCCUCUCCUCGCUCCUUCGAGCACCUUUUCUUCAAAUUUGGACAAUGGUUAAUCAUCAAGUGGCUGAGGUUGCUGAGACUCUGUAGCCCUUCUGGCAAACAUACCAAAUUAGGGCAAUCCUGAAUUUCCAGGCGUGAAAGGGAUAUGAGAUAACCAAUCUGAUUUGGCAAGGAAGUUAAUCCCUUGCAUUCAUAGAGUCUUAGAGAUCGGAGAGAAGUAAGAUGUUGGAUACUCUUUGGCAAUGAAUUCAGCUCUGGACAAAGUUCAAGCUCCAAGAUUUCAAGUGCCGUCAGAUAUUGCACUCCCUCGGACAGAGACACAAAUUUAUCACAAUUUCUAACAGAUAACCUACGAAGAGAAGAUAAGCCGGACAACCCAUUCAUUGGCAGAGUGUAUAAUCUUGUACAACUAUUUAUCUGUAAAACCUCCAAAGAAGUGAGUUUUCGAAGACCUUCCUCUGGCAAGCUUUCAAGUUCAUAACAAUGCUGGAUACUCAAGCUUUUAAGAGCUGAAAGGUUGUCAAAUACCUUAUUUGACAAAGACGAUAGAUUUCUCAUCCCAACCAUACAUAAGGACUCGAGGAGUGUAUGAUUUUGCAAGAACCCAUCUGGAAUCAGCCUCGCAUCAAUCCUUGCAAUAAAAAGGUAUGUGAUAGAAGUAAAUUUCAUAACUGACAUCAGUAACGAAACAUUGCCUUCAGUGAUGUGUAAGCUUUUGACGGAAGGUAUAAUUGGUAUUUCGGUCAACAAGGGGCAAAGAACUACAGAUAAUGCUUUAAGACGAGGAAAACUACACGGAGCCCAUUGCUCUAGUCUCUCCAUUGAAAUAAAUGUCAGGCUCUCCAAAGAUGGGAAUGGAUUUUGCUCAUCUCCAUACACAUGGCUGUCAAUACACUUCACACCAUCCAUUCCAUCUAGUUCAAGAUUCUUGAGGAACUGUAAUUUCCCAAAUGGUGGAAGUUGUUCACAGUUGCCACAUGCUGUUAGCUUCAUCUCUACUAGAUUCGGUAGCAUCAAGUUCAAGUUCAUCAUCCACUUUGGAAAUUUUGAACCCCCAUAUCCAAUUAAUCUCAAUUUCUUCAGAUUUGAAUGAGGUUGAAGCCCAUCAAGGACAUCCUCAUUACUUUCAGCUGAUUGCACACAAGUAAAAGGGCGGCGACCUCCAUUCUCAUUCCAAGAUAAAUUCAGUGAUAGAAGAGUUGUCUUCAACUUCAAAUUGGCACUUCUGGCAUCUGUUAAAUUCUUAACAUUAACAAGAUCUGUGAUGCUUAGUUCACCAGCAAGAUUAUUCAGCCUUUCUAGCUCCCCUAAGUGACGACCAUCCUCCUUACCCACAAUGAACAGGCCAAGUUUUCGCAGGCAUAUUAAUUGUCCCAUUCCAAAUGGCAUAAAUCGAAGUGAAUCACAGCCCGUGAUGUCAAGAUAGAUGAGACUUUUCAUAUGCUUCAUACCUCUAGGUAAUUGGAUGAGCCGUGUACAAUGACUCAGAUUUAGUGUCUGUAGAUUUUGGAGCGAGGUGAUUGAUGCAGGCAAUUUUUUAAUGUGGGAAUUGGAGACAUCUAGAAACCUUAGAUGUUUCAAAUAACAAAUUGACUUUGGCAAUGUAUUGAGAUAGGUACCUAUAUGCAAGGCUCUCAGAUGCUUUUGUUGGGUGAAAUAAAGAUGCAAAUCAACACUCACAAGGCGUGUGUGAUGAUAAAAUCCAGAAAGCAAAAUUGAGCGUAGAGACCUAGAUUUGAAAUCCUUGUCUUCUGGAACAAACUGUGAUGAGUAUGCACCCACAUGACGAAUUGUUUUAGGAAUUUGCAACUUUGUAUUGCCCUCAAUCAAACAACAUUCUCUCUUCAUAAUGUACUGUGCAAGAUCAUGGAUAAGAUCAUGCAUUUUACAUGUCAUGUAGCCCAGCGAAUAUACCUUAACUUCUUGAAAAAAAGACCUCCCAACUAAUUCGUGGAAAAUCUCUUCACCCUUAUCGUGCAAAUCCAUUUGCCCAGUGCUCGAAAUGAAGCCAUUUGCCAUCCAUAGAGCUACCAACCGCUCCUUCCGAAUGACAUAAUCUUUGGGGAAUAUAGAGCAAAAUGCAAAGCAUUGCUUCACAGCUGGCUUUAGAUUCAUAUAACUCAAACUCAAGGCAGGUAAUAAUAUCUGGCUUCCUUCAUUUGGCAGAUCCCAAAUCUCACUUUCUUUGACAGACAGCCACUCCCUUUCACUUUUCUUCGAGCGCAUCAGGCUUCCGACUGCUCUUAUAGCCAACGGAACUCCGCUACACUUCUUAACUAUCGCUGCUCCAAUGUUUUCCAAGUGACCAUACUCCUCUCUCCUUCUCAUACCAAAUGCAAGCUGCUUAAAUAAAAGCCAGGAAUCCUCAUCCGACAAUGUUUCCAUAUGUUGAACAGGAUUUGUGGCCAUUUUUUCAGCCAUAGUUCCCAAACGAGUAGUCACAAUAACUGCACUUCCUUUAGCUCCACAACUCAAUGCAUCUUUCAACUUGCUCCAGUUAUCAUGGUCAUCAUCCCAAACAUCAUCCAAUAUGAGCAAAAACUUCUUACCACCUAAAUUUUCUUGGAGGCAUCGUAGAAGAGCAUCCAACUGUUGAAUAUUUGGAGUAGUGCGUUGAAUGGACUCGAUGAUGGCUGCUGUCAAUCUUUUUAUGUUGAAAUCAACUGAUACGCACACCCAAAUCCGCAAAUCAAAAUGCCCUUCUAUUCUUCCGUCGUUGUAGACUAAUUGAGCAAGUGUUGUUUUACCCAAGCCCCCCAUUCCACAUAUAGCAUAAAUAGAGAAAUCAUCUGAACUGGUGAGCAGCAUGUUGACCAGAUCUUCUUUCUCCUUGCCCCUUCCAUAAAUUUCUGAUUCAUUCACCCAUGACCAAGUCUGACGCCAAUCAAAACUAUCUGCUUCUAUCUCCAAAGCCCCUUCAAUUAAAUGGAAAUCGUGUCUCCCCUUGGCAAUGCGAUCUAGUGUUUCUGUAACAUUCUUCAAUUUACGAGCCAUCCUUUGUCGAAAAACAAGAGGAUUAUGAUUGAUAGAAAAGAAGCAUGUUAGCCAAUUUUUGAGAUCUCUUCGCUGCUGAUGCCACUGAGCUUCAAAAGCAAACUCAUCCAGUACAUCAUCAACAACAUAAGCUGCAUCCUUGAGGUCGCUGAGCCACACCUUGAUAGGCUUACUCUUCCACUGCUUCUCCUCUGCAUCUUGCAGCACAGCUUGAAUGGUUCUGAACGUGCGCUUGAGAUUUUCAAGCUCGGUCGUUAGGCCCCUAGCAAGUCCAAGCUCUUGAAGAACUAGGGAAUUCAAGUUCCCCAUUAUUGUACUCGCGAGAGCAGAAAGAAUUGCAUCACCCAUGGCUUGUUUUGGAAUGGAAAAGAAGAAGUAGAAAAGGUGCAAGGAAAACUAAAAGCAGGGGAGGUGAGCAAGAAAUGGCAAGUAAAAAUUGAGAAGACAGAGCAGUAUGAGAUGAAAAAUGGAAAAGGCUAACAGCAGUCUCUGAUUAUAUUGAUUAGGCUCCACACGGUGCAGGCUUGACUUGGCUAUGCCUAUAAUAGUAUAAUAAAGCAAUUGAAGUUUCAGAGAAGGAACAUAGCUGUGAUUUCAAGCAACAUUUGUCAAUUAUCGCAUGCCUUUUCCUGCUUUAAACAGAAACGUGAUUAACGCUUUUGGCUGUGAAUUCUCAAGGGUAUUUUUCUUUUCAAUAUAUUCUCCAUUAGUUAGACACAGUGCAAAAAGUUUUUCAUAAAUGUGUUUUAAUCCUCGGUUAGAGUUAAUUUAUUCUUAAUGACAGUAGAAUGACAUCAUAAUCACAACUAAUCUCAAAAACUUAUUUAAUCAACUUAAUAUUAAAUAAUAAAAUUUUAAAAAAAAAUCGAGGUAAUCAAGCAACCCGCGACCUGGACAAAUUCCAACAGGAACACAAGAUUGGUUAUGUAAAAGAGAAGUGCAGAAGGACCAAAUAAUUGCUCACUCCGUGGAAUAAACAAAUAUUAGUCUAUCUUGGACAUGAAUAGAGAAAGGUUAUUAUAUUUUCAAAUAUUUGUGAUUUGAGAGUUGUGUUUAAUUUUAUCAAAAUAUUAAAACCGCUGUCUUUUAACUACACUGAUUAGGCUCCACACGGUGCAGACUUGACGAACAUUGAAUGUCUGUAUUAAAGCAUUGAAGUUUCUGAGCAGCGGCACGGCUGUGAUUCGAAGACAACAUCUGUCAACUUGAAUUUCCUUGUUGGUUACUAAACGUUUUCUUCCCGCGCUUGCCAACCCGCGUGGCUCUACACACUUAAAUUUUAAAGAAUUACAUUAGGCUCCACACGGUGCUGACUUAACUAGCCAUGCCUGUAUUAAAGCAAUUGAAGGUUCUGAGAACCAACACGGCUGUGAUUAGAAGACAACAUUCCACCUUGAUUUUUUUUUUCAAUUGAAGUUUUUGCUUGCUCAAAUAAUUUAUCUAUGCUAAAGUCAAAAUGUAUUUUUAUAACGAAAUAAUUACUUUCUCAAAUAAUUCUGAUUACAAAACUUUAAAUACCAUUGAAAAUGAUUUUUCAAUAAGAAAAAUGCAUACAUGCCUAGUUGCUCAUAUGCUAAUGUACUUAUCCACUACUGUGCUAAUUUGUGAAAUAUUUUUGUCUAUUGCGUGUAGAAAAAAACUCUCAAAUUUCUCUUUGUUCUCUGUUGUACCAUCAAAAGAAAAAUCCAAAGUGAUAAUGCAACAUCCAAAAGUAUAAAAUAUGGUAUAAAAACCAAAUAAAAAAAAUAAUAAUUAGGGAUUAAAUUAAAAAAUAAAAUAAGAAUUUUUUUUUAAAAAUAGCAAUAAAAAAAUAAAAACUAUUAUUUAAUGAAGAAAUUAAAUGAAAUAAAAUAUUGAAAGUUAAAAAUAAAAAAUAAUAAAUCAAGAAAAUAAUAAGAAAAAAGAAAUUAAAAGAAUAAUGAUAAAAUUUAAAUUUAAAAAUUUUAAAAAAUAAAAUGAUAAAGGAAAAAUAAAUCAAGAAAAAAGUAAAUUAUAUUAAAAAAAAAAACAUUCAACAAAACAAGAAUUAAAUUAGAUACCAAAACUAAAUAAAAUAACUGACUGGGCUCUACGUGCAGACUUUGACUAGCCAUGCCAAUUGAAGUUUCAGAGAAGUAACAUGGCUAUGAUUUGAAGACAGCAUUCAUCAACUUGAAUUAGCUUGUCGGUUAGUAGGUGUCUUUGUCCCGCACUGGCCACUCCGCGUGGGUCUCACACGCCAGGCAUGAAAGAGAAGAAUGCCUCAAUCAGAUGAAUGAACAUAAAAGAUGGAAGAAAAGAAAAGAUGGAGGGGUUGCUUUUGUAUACUCCCCAAAGUCAAGAACGUCCUUUAGGUGGGUCUCCACGAAGAAAUUUUGCAACCAAGAGGCAAUGUACCCUUCACUUUCAUAUCCAAAGAUCGCAAAAGAUCUGAUCAAAACUGUGAUGCAAUUUUGCCCGUGUGAGAUGGAGGAACUUCCCGGAGGAGGGAGGGUUUUUAGGCGAGUUAUUAGUAGGGGAAUAAGGCUUGGUUUCAUUGCUAUGGAGGAACUUCCCGGAUUCCGGCUACAAGCCUAUCUACCUAUCUUUAACUUGUCCUUGUGGGUGUGAGUUGUGACUUCUGCUUCCAACAUAUGGAUUGUGCUUUAUAUAAUUUUAUAAAGAUCCAAAAUUGCAUGAAAAAAAAUAAAAAUAAUAUAAAACUUUAAAGAGAGAAAUAAUUAAGCGUUGAAGAGACACCAUAAUUCUAUUAUAGGGAAACCUCAUGUUACUCUCCAACUUGUAUAUCCAUUCUCAAUUACAUUUAAAACCUAUGAAUUUUUUCAAUUAGGUUCCAAACAUUUCAAAAUAUUCUCAAUUAGUGUUUUUUUUUUUUCUGUCAACGUUGUCGGUAUUUUUGUCAAAUCUUCUUAAAACUGAUGUCUGUUUUAGAGCAUAAAUAUACAUAUUGGAUAUAAAAAAUGUGAAUACUCGUAAAAAAAACAGUUCCUCUAUUUUUAAAAGAUAAAUUAAUUAAUCUUUUUUUAAAAAUAAAUUACCUAGUUCAUUGACCAGGUUAUUUUUUUUAUAAUAUUUAUUUAUUCAUUUCCUUUCUUCUAUUUUCUUUUUUAAAAAACGUAAAUGAACAGAAAGGACUAAAUAAUUUGUUUUUUAAAAAAUAACUAAUUAAUUCAUUUCUCAAAACUAAAAGGACUUAGUUUUAUAAUUUAGACCACAAGGGUGCAUUGGAAACCUCGGACUCCAAGGGUGAGUCAUCUCCACGUGACUAUUGAGGAUUAGGAUGAAUAUUAAAAGUGACCUUACCUGCAACACGUGGUCGUAUGGUCUUUCAAUUUCAGGUGACACAUGGGUCCCACAAAACCAUCAUCAUUUUAUUUCAUUUUCCCCUGUGCCUUGUGGAGAGAAAAAGAAAACCAACCAAGUCUUCUUCCUCCCUCUCUCCAGGACAGGAAGCGGGACCCAAUCUCAAAUACCCAACCCAAUCCUAGCCGUUGAUUGUUUUUUUCCUGGAUUCCUACUCUCUCUAUCUAGCUAUCUACCUGAUCCAGCUGGAUUUAGCUGUUACAAACUGUAACAAUCAUAUUUCACCCGCUUGAGUUGAGCUUGAGCUAUCUACCUAGCUAAGCCAAAAUUAGUUCAAACCGAUCGGUUUUGGUUUGUUUUUUUAGGAUAAAAAGCUGGUUUGGCUCGGUUUUCUUGGUUUUGGCUUAUUUUUUUCCGGUUUUGGCUCUGCUUUUGAUUUGGCUCGGUUUUUUCUGAUUUGGAUCCAAUCUGGUUUGGUUUUUUGGUUUUAGACUUAUAAAACCGAAAUCAAACCAACUGAUUUUUUAAAAUUUUAAUUAAUUUUUUUUAUGAUUUAAUUUUUUCAAUUAUUUUUUUUCCAGUUUUUUAAUUUUUCGAUAUUUUUACUCACUCCAUCGUAUGUUUUGUUUUUUACAGUAAAGAAGGCUGGUGUUCUUACUAUUAGUUUUUUUUCAUAUAUAUAAAUUAAAGAUCAUUAAUGGAAUCUGCCAUGGAAAGAAUAUUCAAAUAUUAGAGAAAUGCACAGGGACAAAAUAAUUGCUCACUCCCUGGAAUAAUCAAAUAUUAGUCUAUCUCGAACAUGAAUAGAGAAAGGAAGAAAAGAACACGUCAUGACUUUGAACAGAGGAAGUAAUAAUUGCCCAUUCGCCUUGAAAUUCUAGCUGGACAGCAUUUGGAAUUUCACGAGGCAAAAGAUUCUUAACAAUGAGUUAAAUCUCCUUUUUGAGGUGACCUGACCUGUCGGAAUUGCUUUAUAGACAAGAAUGGAUUCAUGAGUCAUAUUCUACAAGAAACAAGCAAGUCAUUUGACUCACAUAACAAAGAUGGAAAUAUAUUUCCCCUUUAAUACAGAGCUAAAAGGGUACGCUAGAAAUUUAAAAAAUUUUAAAAGUACAGUCCAAACAUUGUAUAAUUACCCUCACCAAACUCUUUCAAUAAUAGAUACCAUUUGUUACUCGCAUAUUACAUAUAGGUAUUUCAAAUUCACGUGUGCUUGCUAGUGAUUUUCUUCCCAUGCACAUAUCUCAAGUAAAUGAAAGCAGGCUUCUUGGAACAUGAAGAAACUGAGAGGUGCCCGUGCCCUUGCCUUUUCAGCUACAGCGAAGCACCAAUCCAGAGGUCCGUUCAUGGCUUUUCAGCAAACAAAGGAAACCAUUGGCGAUGCUUUUACGGAGUGCUCAAUCACUUUCAUAUUUUUUACAUUAGAAUUUAGAUGGAUACAUGUGAGUGUCGAUAGGAAAUAUGCCUUCAUCUGUAGUCGCCUAGUAGGUCCUACCGGAAAGAAACGCUGUCAAUUCCUACUCCAUGGUGGUGGGUGGGCCUUCUGAAAGCAGCAUUCAGCGGGGGAAGUCCUCAGUCAAUUCCUACUCCAUGCUUUUACAGAGUGCUCAAUCACAAUUGUUGCCAGUCGGGUUAUAAAUUUCAUUUUACUAACAAAACAAUGUUCCUGGGCAACACAUCUCCCCUCGAGUUAUAAAUUUCAUUUUACUUUUUUUUUUCGUUACUGACAACGUAUAAAUUUCAAUUUACUUAAUUUUUUACUGAUAAUUUCAUUAUAACUUAAUAACAAAAUGUAAGAUCAUAUAUACUAAGAUUCGCUCCAAUAGAAGCAAUGACCAUGAUGCAGGUGACACAUGGAAAAGUUAUACAGUAAAUGUACGGGUCAUUCUCAGGGCUUUUUUUUAUUUUAUUUUUUUCUUGUAGUUUUUCUAAUAUACUCAUGACAGAGUAGACUUGUCCUAUCUAUAGACGAAUCAACUGUUCAGAAAUGUUCCACAAAGAGUAUGGCAGGCCCAAAAACACUCACUAUGUUUUGUUAAUGUAGGCAUGCAGCUGCUCUUUCCUGGGCCUUUCUCUUUGUUGUUUUUAACAAAAAAGCAAGAGAAUCCAUUUACUCCAAACACCUUCUCCAGGCAUUCAUAUCAAACGAACCCUAGCUACGUGUGAAGAAGAUUGAAAGAGAAUGAUCAGUGUAAGGAUACAUAAGAGGAUUUAAAAGCUGUGAAAGCUUGCUCAUGUAGUCGCUGGAUGAAUUAAUCGAGGAGUUUACAAAUAGGCUGGAAUUGCAUCGACACUGAAAUUAACACCUUCAAUUACAAAAAUGAUUUUUGACAUUUUGCAGAUAUGGUUCCUUAUCUACAGCUCUAGUGAUAUUUAGAGAGAGUUUUCGGCAAAUGCAGCCCACAUUACUAUUCAAUCCUCAUGGAUGAUGCGUGGCAUCAGAUCGAAUUGUUGAGUUUUCGCGUUGAUAAUCUUCAAAAUUUUCUGCAUUUGGACCUAACCUGUGAGAUGAAGGUUUUAUUCGUCAUGACUGUUGCAAAAACUUAUUUAAAUCAUCGUUUAUUUUCAAAUUAAAGAAAAAUAUUUAUGAUCACAUUUAGUUAAAAGUUACUCUUUAGAAUCAAAUUGAACUAGAUUUUUUAAUUCAUGUCAUCUCAACUAACUUUUAUCAAACGCUUAUAAGAUCAUAGAUCCUUAUGAAUAUAGUAAUUUUUUGUAGUUGAAUAAUGGGUUUAAUCAAAUCUCCAUGCUAUUAGAUUCAUUUUUCAUGACACAAAAAGGUGAUAGCUUGAUGUAAAAAUUCUAACACUUGCAAAAUAGUUUUUUUUUUAAUGGAUUUGAAUACCUUCAAAUGCUUAAUUAAGCAAGAGGAAAAAUAUAAUAAAUAUGCAAAAGAAUAUUAAAUUCUAAUAACAAAAUUAUUUGUUUUUGUUUUGAUAUGAAAAUAUGUAUUUUAUAAGAAAAUGAUGAGUGUAUGUUGAGAUUGAAAAUUAUAAACCUCUUAUAUGGAUAGUUUAAGGAGUAUCUAUACCCAAAAACAUUAUCAUUUUCCUUAAGUGAAGGGGGUUUGAAUGUUAUUUCACCAUGAUAGCAUUAAAGAAGAACAAAAAUCUUUCAUAUAUAUAUAUAUAUAUAUAUAUAUAUUAAAGAGAGAAAAAUAUUUCUAACAUAAAUAUUAAUAAAAUUAAAAAUAAUACGUAAUAAAAAACUCUUGUACACCGAAAAAUAUAGAUUGAACAUGAUUCAACUAAAGAACUUGAAUAAAAUAAAAAUAUCAAGAAAUUUGAUACGGGUAGAAGCCACAAGACAAUGCUCAAAAGGUAUUAAGCCUAGCAUGGGCCUAAAACCUUUUUUAAAAUGUUCUUCCUGAGUUGUCGUUAAAACAUGCUUGGAUUAACAUGUAAAAUGAUAAGAGAAUAAUAGAAUUUGCUGGAAUGAAAAUUAUUAUUGAUUGCAUUGCAUAUUUAUAUAAGAGUAUCUACAUUUAUUCUCUUCUACUAUGAAUCCAACACUUGGAAUUCAUUGUCCUAUAAAGAAUUAUUAUUACAGUAGGGAAAUCAUGUAUAAAUUAUUCAUUCCUAAUAUAUCUCUAUCAGGAUUCCUAAUACUCCCCUUCAAGUCGAAGAGUGGAUGUCCUACACUCCCAACUUGUGAAUCAUAGGAAUGAAGACAUCUUUUACUAAGGGUUUGGUGAAGAUGUCUGCCAAUUGAUGGUCAAAAUGAACAUGUCUUGUUAUCAUAGAAUCAUCUUGAAUUUUUUCCUUGAUAUAGUGACAGUCCAUCUUAAAAUGUCAGGUGCACUCAUGAAACACUAGGUUGGCUACAAUGUGUAAUGCAACCUUGUUAUCAUAAUGUAGUAAAGCAAGUUCAUGAUGUAAAAGGCCUAAAUCCCUCAACAGACAUCGGAGCCAUGUCAACUCACAACAUGCUCCUGUCAUUGCACGAUACUUUGCCUCUGCAGAGGAGAGUAAGACUGUUUUUUGUCAUUUUGAUCUCCAGGAUAUCAAUAAGGGUCCAAGAAACACACAAUAACCCGUGGUAGACCUCUGAGUUAGUGGGCAACCUGCCCAAUCCGAGUCUGAAUAAGCUCUUAAUUUGUAAUCAGUGUGUGAAGGAAAGAAUAACCCUUGACCAGGAGCUCCUUUCAGAUAUCGGACAACCCGGAAAAGCCAGCUUCCAUAUGAAGCUUCCGGGGUUGGUGCAUGAAUUUGAGGAACUGCAAGUUCCUCAAUGGUGGAAGUUGUUCACGGUGGUCAACACAUUUCAUUGUAUAUAAUAAUAAUAAUAAUAAUAAUAAUAAUAAUAAUAAUGUACUCAAAAUUUAGAAGUUAUAAAAUAAAGAUUUUGAAUUUUUAUAUCUUAUAUAAGAUAAUAAUUCUUAUCAAACAAUUUCUUACCGUCAUAAUCAUUAUAUCAGCCACAAUAAAAACUAUCGGAGCCAGGUUGUUGGGCAUAACCUAGAGCAUUCUUGCGUAUAUUUUCUAAAAGAGAAAGAAAACAUUUUUUCAUGAUUUUUACUUUUUUAUUCUUAAAUAAACAAACAUUCAAAAUUAACUUAAACAUUAGGAUGCAACAACAACUCCAAUUCCAAAAACAAAAAAUAACAAAAUAAUAUGAAAGCAAGUAACACUCAUAUUUAUACAUUCUAAAAAAGAUAUACCCAUCGCUCUUGCGUGAGCUGCUCCAAGUGAUCUAGUCACCAUCAACCUCCAACAUCUCACUCAAGCAUUAGAAAAACAUCUAGGCAUAAAACAAGCCCCAUGACUCACAUAAAAAAAAUAUUUCAGCUUCCAUUGCCCAGAAACCUCCCUCCCUCCCUCAGUUUUUAUGGUUUAAUUCUAUAAUAAACUUCAAGCUAUUAGGAUAAUAUUGAAUUUAUAUUUAAACUAUUUUAAUUAUAAUUAUUCCGAGUCAUCAGAUCAUAUGUUGCUACAACGUAAUUUUUCUAUAGACAAAAUUUAUUUUAUAAUGCCGGUGGGGUAUCUUUUGGAGUGUUCAUGUAGAAAUUUAAGCAGAGUAAUGAAGAGACAUGAGGCAGUGCAAUAGUGAAACAAAGUUAUUCAUUCAUACCUCUUUCUUAUGUUGUACAUGUAGAGUGGGAAAAACUUGCAGCAAGGAAAGACAAUCUUGCGUAUAUUUUCUCCCAUGAUUAUUGCUAAGAUUAUAUGUUAAUAAUAAAUACACAAUCAUAUCUAAACUAGAUAACAAGUAAGUUAUACUUGAUGAGUUGUUGCCAAUGGUUAGGUUUCAGAGAAAGACAUGGCAGCUCCUCCUUUACGGGUAUGCUAUAUAUAUACUUCAUCCAACCAACAAAAGAGAAGUAAUAUAUUUUUCUCUGCAGACAUCUACAGACAAAGUUCUUCUCUGCAGUGAAGCCAAUGUAUGGGAGACCUGUGACCCCUGACUUUUUUUUUUAAUUAAUAUGGUUCGAUUAAUUCUAUCCCAUAAACCUUGAAAUUAAUAACUAUAUAAGCUUUCAAUAAUCUUGAAAAGAUUUAAAUUCAUGAUCAUUAAAGAAUAAACUCAAAAUUUAACUUGUUGAGUUACCCCUCAAGAUUUCUAAUACCCUGACUCUUGUUUACACACAAUGCCGGCGGUGCUAGUUAGGGGUGAUCAUUUUCGAUUUGGUUCGGUUUGAUUUUUAUUAAAAAAAAAUAACAAAACCAAUUUUUUUUUUAUUAAAAAAACCAAAACUAGUUCAAACCGACCGGUUUUGGUUCGGUUUUUUAGGACAAAAAGCCGGUUUGGCUCGGUUUUCUUGGUUUUGGCUAGGUUUUUUCCGGUUUUGGCUCUGGUUUUUUGAUUUGGCUCGGUUUUUUUUGGUUUGGGUCCGGUCCGGUUUGGUUUUUUGGUUUUAGACUUAUAAAACCGAAACCAAACCAACCGAUUUUUUUAAAAUUUUAAUAAGUUUUUUUCACGAUUCAAUUUUUUCAAUUAUUUUUUUUCUAGUUUUUUUAAUUUUUCGAUUUUUUACUCACUCUAUCGUAUGUUUUGUUUUUUACAGUAAAGAAGGGUGUUCUUACUAUUUUUAUUUAUAUUUUAUAUAUAUAUAUAUAUAUAUUAAAGAUCAUUAGUGGAAUCUGCUAUGGAAAGAAUAUUCCGUUAGCAAUUCUAAUUUUUUAGAUUUUUUUAAUUUCGACAACAAUUUUUAAUGCUAGCAAAAUAUUUCAUUGAUAUUUUUAUUGGUAUUAGAAAUCAUUAACGAGAUAAAAAAGUUUAAUGAGCAACUUUUUAAAGAUAAUAUUUCAUUAGUAAUUUCAUUGAUGUUUUCAUUGGUGUUAGAAAUCAUCAAUAAUUUCUAAUAAUAACAAAAUUCUCUCUAAAUACUGAUAUAAUAUUCUUUUAACAUUCCUUAAUUUUGUGCUAGUGUUUAACGUAAAUAACUUCCUUUUGUUUUUCAAUUAAACAAAUUAUCAUACUUUAAAUUGCAUACUGAUAUAUUUUUUUUCUUACUUUAAAAAUUAACUUAAAAACUUACAUGUAGUAUAACAAGAGUUAUUGCACCAAUGAGAACUAAAUACCAUUAUCUUGUAAAAAAAAAAAAGUAGGUUGCAGUCGAGAAAUAAUUUAUUUCCAUUUUAAUUUUGUAUUUUUGUACAAUUGUUUUAGGUUUUUUUGGGCUAAUAAAUUAUUAUUUUUUUAAGUUUUAAGGAUGUUGAUUAAAUUAUUUUUUUGAUGAAAAUAAUGAAAAUAAAUUUUUAGAUAAAAAGAACAUCCUCUCAAUUUUUAGUCACUUUUACUAGAAUUUAGAUGUGGAAGUUACACGUCAUUUGUUUCUUAAAAAAAUUAGAAAGAUGACAAAUUUGAAAAAAUAAUGAAAAAAGCCUUGAGAUGCAGUGGCAUAGGCUAGCAGACCCGCAUGCUUAGACUUAUUUUUAAAGGUUCCAUCUUGCUAAGCCACAGGACGUGUACCUUGCUUUUAUUAAAAAAAAAUUCCAAUAAUUUUGGUGUGAUUUCUUAAAUUUUAAUUAAUCAAAUAUUUAUUAGUUAUAUUAUUUUAUUAGAUUCUUAAAGUGAUUAAUUAUAUAUUUAGAUAUUAUUUUAGUUAAAGUUGAUCAUUUUUUACCAUGUUUUAGAAUAAAAUUAUUUCUGAACGUGCGGUUGAGAUUUUCAAGCUCGGUCUCUAGGCCCCUAGCAAGUCCAAGCUCUUGAAGAAUUGGGGAAUUCAAGUUCGCCAUGAUUGUACUCGCGAGAGCAGAAGUAAUUGCAUCAGCCACAGCUUGUUUUCGAAUGGAAAAUAAUUGGAUGUUGACAAGAAGAAGUAGAAAAUGUGCAAGGAUAACCAAAAGCAGGGAUGAGGAGACAGAGCAGUGUGGCAUGAGAAAUGGCAAAGGUGAAAGUGUCUGGUGAUGGUCUUUACUCUUGCUAUUGAUCAAUUCUUCAUUACAUUAAACACAUUAUACGUUUGCAAAAAACCCACCAAAGACCACACCUCCCAUCUAAACUGCCGUCCUUGACUAUUAUAUUGAUUAGGCUCCACACGGUCGAGACUUGACUAGCUGUGCUUCCAAUAAAGCAAUUCAAUUUUCAAAGAAGGAACAUGGCUGUGAUUUGAAGACAAGAUUUGUCUGCCGGUGUGAACACAAACUUUUGUUCAAAAUGUGAGCCAAAAUCCAAUAUUAAUCUAGUAUAUCAAAAAGUUGUAUUUUUUUUUUUGUGGUUGUUAUAAUUCUCUCUCAUCAAUUAAAAAUUUUUAAUCUUUAAUAUUGAAUUUUUAGGUUUAAAAAAGGUAAAAAUAACAAGUAAUCAAUUCUUUUUCAUGUUAAUUAUGGUUUGUUUAUGAAAACAUUAAAAAAAAAUAAGAUUUAUAAAGAUUUGAAGUUUAUGUUUUUAAAAUGAAUUCAUGAUUAUUAUAAAUUUAAGGUCAAGUGAUUAAUUUUGGAUGUGUUGUUAGAAAUAAGAAUUUGUGAAUUGAUUUGUUUAAUUAAUUUGUUAAGGGUUAAGAAAUUCGCUUCAACUUUGCUAGAAAAUCUGGACAAAAUAAUUUUGAGGUUGAAGAUAAAAAAAUUGUAUUUUGGUCCUUGAUUUAUGAAAAUUACAGUGUAGUUCCUAAACAUUGAAAAAUUAUAAUUUAACCUCUAACUGUAUUUUGGGAUUCUGAGUAGUAUUAUUAUGAGGUUAAGGAUAAUGACUCUCAGUUUAAUAAUUGAUUUGAGAUUUUUUUAGUGGGCCUUUAAUUUUGAAAGUUUACAUUUUAGUCCUUGAUCUUUAAAGAAAUGAUAGUUCGGUCCUUGGUUCAUUUCUAGAUAGAAUUGAAAAUGGUUUGUUGGUAAAAUUUCAGUAUGGUUAUGUAUUUACAAUUUGCUCCUCCAAUUUUGGUAAAAUUUUGUUUUGGUUCGUGAUUUCUAAAAAAUAUCGUUUUAGUCCUUAAACUCAUAAGAAUAAACCUGUUUUAUUUUAUGCAUUGAAAUAUUUUAUUUGUUGUUUUGGGUUGUUUUUUAGUAUAUUCUAUAUAUUUUUUUAUAAGCUCUCCUAACAAUCAUCAAUAAAAUUGCCAUAGCUUGUUUUCGAAUGGAGAAUAAUUGGAUGUUGACAAGAAGAAGUAGAAUAGGUGCAAGGAUAACCAAAAGCAGGGGUGUAAGCAAGAAAUGGUAUGUGUUGAGAAGACAGAGCAGUGUGAGAUGAGAAAUGGCAAAGGUAAAAGUGUUUGGUGAUGAGCUUUUCUUCUGUUAUCGAUCAAUUCUUCAUUACAUUAGUGAUUAAUAAUGUGGUGGUUCAAUUUUAUUAAGAUAUUAAAACUGCCGUCCCUGACUAUAUUGAUUAGGCUCCACACAGUUCAGAGUUGACUAGCUAUGCUUACAAUAAAGCAAUUGAAGUUUCAAAGAAGGAACAUGGCUGUGAUUUGAAGACCGAAUUUGUCUACUUGAAUUGCCUUGUUUGUUAGCAAACGUCGUCUUCUCUACGCUCAUUUUUUUUUUUAUCAGUGUCCAGUGGCCUUCGGUGACCCCAUAACCAUGCAGCCAAGCUGCGCAAUGGCCAGACCCUCGGAAACACCAAUAUUUUCCAGCGCUAGUGAAUGCAAGUUGCCCAAGAUUGUAAAUGCAAGCGCAGAAACAAGUGCACCAGCCAUGUUCUCUACUGAAGUGAAAAUGGGAACUGACACGGGUAAGAUAAAUGUUUUCCGACUAGGGUUCCUUUUCUUUUAUUUUAUGACAAGGAGAUAAGAUGAAGAAUGAUUCAAUGUCGCAAAAUCGACAAGAUCAAAAGGGUUCUAAAAUUAGAAGUGUAAGAUCAAAUGUAGGAAUUAGUAUACUUCGAAGGCACAACAGUCCUUGGAACAAAAAAAAAAAAAACUUGAUUACCCCAGAGACAGGACAACCAAGAACACACCAGUACGGCAUCCAUGGAGCUAUUUAACAUCUUUCUGUAUGCAGCAAGGUGGUCAUGGCCAUACCUGGGUUUUUUCCGAAGUUUUGAACCUCCAGAACCAUAUUUAUUUGAACAUAUAUGUUUACUCAAAUGGAAAAUCUAGACAGCAAACUUUAAUUUACAAUGCACUAGUGAACAGCCCUUCAUAAUCUGGAAAACAAUGUAAAUGCUAUUAUUAAUAGUUUCACCUUGUUAAGCCCAAAUGACUUUCACUUAAAGAGGAUGUGUUAGAGAAUAAUAUAAAUCAUAUUCUGAGACCUCACCUAAAAGCUUAAGCUUUUGAGUUGAGAUGAUUCUUUGACACUCUCGUCGCAACUUCAAUUUCAUUGAAGCCUUAGCAUUUUGUUCUCUUUGCUAUGUUUUCACUAGAAGCAUAUUUAUGGAAGAGAAAUCAUGGAUCUUUGGAACAACAUCUGCAUAAAUCUAAUUCAAACUCUAUCAUUGCAAUCCCUUUUGAAUUUCAUCACUUUUUUUUAAUUGAAAUAUGUGCUAAAAAGAACGUAAAGUUUAUGAGAAUUUUCUUUCUUUUGCCUAUUUAGGAAAUUCUUUAUCAAGGACGUAUAAAAAAGGAGUCAAUGGAGCUUUGCUUUGUUCUAGAUGAGCAUCCAUGCAUGGUUUAAUAGGUGGAGAAUAAAAUCUUCCAUGAAAGCUUUAGUGUGAUAGAUUUGAAUUACAACAAAGAAAGUGACAAGCUGAGCACUAAAAAAGAUCAUUCAAGAUCUCAAUUAUGAAGGUUAAAACCAAAGCAUAAAGCAUAUUAUACAUUACAGCAAAAUCUAAUCGAUCAUAGUCAAAGAUCUUACAUUUAUGCUCACCCCUAUCCUUGUGCAUAAAAACAAAAAAAACAAAAUUUGGUUUAAAAGCUACUAUUUAAAGUGUAUUAUACAUACAUACAUAUAUAUAUAUAUAUAUAUAUAUAUAUAUAUAUAAUUUCAUAUCAAAACCAUAAAAAAAAAUUAAGAUCUUAAAUUUAUGCUCACCCCUAUCCCUAUUUUUUGUAAUCAAGAUUCCUGAAAAGUAUGAUCUCAAAGCUACCGAUGUUAGAGAGAUUUGUACCGUACCAAAAUUUUAAUUCAUGUGCGCUAACUUGAAAAGCAAAUGAUCUGAAAUCAAAAUGGAACACAUGACUAGUGUGAUUAUGGACAUGGUGCAAGAAAAGGUUUUUACUCAAGAAAUUACUAGGAAACAAUUAGGUGAAAGAUGUUGUUCGGACGUAUAUUAGGAAUUUAAUGAUUAUCAAUUACAUGUUGAAAGCUAUAGAAAAUAUUAGUUUGGGAAGGUAUGUUCUUCCCAAACUAGCUUUAGAAAAUGUUAGACGGAGAAAUAUUGCAUUUGAGCAGGAAAUUGUAGUUUUACCUUUUCUUACUCCUGUUUCAAGAAAUUUGAAGUACUCUUCUAUUUGUGAAUAAUUUAAUAUUUCUUUGAGUGUAUUUUUUAUUAUUUCAUGUCAAAACCAUAAAAAAAAAAAAAACACUUAAAAGGGCAUAGUUUUGAUAUUUUUAUAGAAAAAAUUAAUUACAAAAUAUUUUCAACCAUAUUACUAAACAUGCAUCUAAGCCAUGACUCAUUUGUUUUUAGUUGGCGCAUGUUACAUGCUUCAACGACCAUUGAUAAUUUUUCUUAUUAUUAUUGAAUUUGUUUUAUUAAUUUUUUUUUAAUUGUAUUAAAAAUAUUAUUAUUAAAGUUUCAAUGUGUUUUAAAUUCUCUUUUCUCUUUCUUAUUGAAGUUUGUAAAACUAAUUUUUAUGUAUUUUUUAAAUAGAUGCACUUUCCAACUAUAAGAAUUUUAAAAAAUCACAAGUGGAAAUUGCUAUUUAUAUCAAAUUAGAUUAAUUUUAAAAUAUUUUUCUUUGUGUUAAUUAGCUUUUUAAAAAAACAAAAAAAAAUGUGUGAUUUUAUUUUAAAAAAACUCCCAUCUUAUAGCAUUGGAUUAGGAUAAAGGUGCUUUCAAAAUUUGUGCGUAGAAUAUGUUCUUUCUAAUUUUCCGAUCAAUGACCAUCCAAUGGGUUUCUUGUAACCAUCAUCAAUCCACCAUUGGAGAUAAGGUUUACAGGAUCAUAAAGCCUUGCCGUUUUGGCACCUGAUGCCAACAUUAUUGGCCUACAGAAAGACAAGUGGACAUCAAAACUACUAAAGGCCAAUCACCGCCAUGCGAGUAAAGAUAUGUUUCGGUUUGAAUUUUUUUUUUUUUUUAGAUCAAGGGAAUAUAAUGAGUCAUGUAUACAAAUAAAAUUACCGAGAUAACUGAUUUCGUUUGUAAAUCCAUCAAUAAAUUCAUUAAUAAACUGUUAACUUUUUCCUAAUACUAUUUAUCAUGUCAAUUACAAAUGAAAUUAUUGACGAAAUAUUCUAUUAAUAUUUCUUAAAAAACUUUGCAACUGUUUACUUUUUAAUUGCACUAUUAAUUAUUAUUCUUUAUAGAUAAAAUCACUGACGGAUUGAAAAUUCAUCAGUGUUAUUUGGUGGGUUUCUGAAAUUUUUUGAUUAAAUUAAAUAUUACAGACGGAAUCACCGAUAGAUUGAAAAGUCGUAGGUGAUAUUUGGCUAUUUCUAAAAAUUUUAUAUUAAAUUGAAAAUUUAAAUUAACUAUUACAGAAGGAAUAAUUGACAGAAUGAUUAAAAAUAUUAAUAUUUAAUUAUUCAUCGGUAAAACGCCCAAUAAAAAGACUAGAAUCCCUUAUUUCACAAUAGACGUGCCUCUUUUUUCUUCUUCUUUUUUUUUUUUUUUUUUUUUUAAAUCACAUCUCUUUCUUUCUCUUCUCUCCUCAACUCCUUAUUUUUUAUUUAAACAAUGCUAACUGGGUUGAGUCCACUGUUCCGGUUGGACCGGGUCCGAUUAAAAGCUAAAAAUGCAUUGAACUGGGUCCAAUCCAGUAAAAUAAAAAUAUUAAUUUUUUAUUUUUAAUUGUGUUUUAUUUUAAAAAAUAGUGUUUAACGUUAUUCAAUGACACUACAUAAAUUAUACGGGGAUUGCUUAAUGACGUAGUAUUUACAUAACUUGAUCGUAAUCCCCAUUUUAUUCCUGAUGUUGUUGCGCGCUUAAGAAACUAAGAAAACUGUAGUCCUUGUCGGAUGUAUUUCAUACGCGAUGAAAUUGUAGAUAGUUUAAUGAAACAAUAAAAAAUAUUUUAUAUAAAGUAUUUUUUAUUUUAUGAUGUAAUAGCAGUAGUUAAAUCUGUAAUAUUUAAAUUAAAAACCAUCAAUAUUAAUAUAUAUUUUUUGAAAUUAUUUUAUAACCUCAAUUUGAAAAGUAUUCUUAACCAAAUACAUUAAACUAUUUUUUAGUUCAACUUUAAUUUUAACCAAACAUAUAUAAAAUAUCAAACCAAUCUCAACUAAAAAUACUUUUUAUAAAAUAAUUUUUUUCAAAUCACAACCAUAAAAGCUAUCACAAUACCAAACACACUCCGGGUGCGUUUAUUUUCUAGAAAGUGGUUUUCCAGAAACCACUUUUCAAACUUUAUUGUAUUUGUUUGCCAUUAUGAAAGUUGGUCAACGAAAAACACUUUCCAGUCAAAGAAAAAUUUGGCUUGGUUUCUAGGAAAGUGUUUUCCUUUUAUUUUGGGCGGAAAACACUUUCCAGAAGUUGUGAAAAAUUUAGAAAUGUCAUAUUAUUUACUAAUUAUAUUAAAUUUGGUUCUCAAACUUUUGAUUGUUACAUAUAUUUUGUUUUGAAUAUUUGUUUUUCAAUUUCAUCCCUUAGAAUUGAAUUUUUAUAUAAACUUUGGUUCUUAUUUUUAUUUUGCUUUUCCCUUAUCAUUUUUUAAUUGGAAUUUUUUAUCUAUCAAAUCUGGUCCUCAUUUUUUUUAUUGUUAUUUAUUUUAUUUGAAAUAAUUUAUGAAAUGUUAAUUAUUAUUAUUUUAAUUUCUUCAUCUUUUAAUUUUUUUAUUUUUUAGAUUUGAUCUCUAUUAUUUUGAUUAUUAUUUAUUUUAUUUGAGAUAAUUUAUGAAAUUAUAUAUUUUUUUCAAUUUUAUUCUCAUUCAACUUUUUAAUUUGUAAGAUUUGUUGUUCAUUAUUUUAAUAAACUUGAAAAAAUAAAAUAUUAAUAAGUUAUUUUCCAGCUUAUUUUCCACGACAUAACCAAAUACUAGAAUGUAUUUUCUAACUUAUUUUUCAUUACAUUACCAAACAUUAAAAAAUAAUUUAUUUUUUUAGAAUUUAAUUCCUAAAAAAAAUUACUUUUCAAUAAAUAAACAGGGAUUUAACUAACACCUCCCGAGUCCUAACGGAUAUUAUGGACCCGCAGGGUACAUAUUGCCCCUCAUGAUCUUGCUUUCUUCUUCUAGGGCCCGCAUGUUGAUAUUGACCAUCUUGGGCACUUCCGUUCUCCAUUGCCAGAGACGUUCGAGGCAGUGAAGCUCCCCAUCCCGCAUUAACGGUGGUUCGCAUUGCGUUUUGAAAAUAUUUUAAAAAGAAAUUGAUUUUUCUUUUAGAUCAAGGGAAUAUAAUGGGUCAUGUAUACAAACAAAAUUACCGACAUAACUGAUUCGUUUGUAAAAUCCAUCAAUACAUUUAUUAGUAAACUGUUAACUUUUUUCUAACAUUGUUUAUCCUGUUAAUUAUAAAGGAAAUUAUUGACGGAAUAUUUUAUCGGUAUUUUUUAAAGAACUUUGCAACUGUUUACUUUUCAAUUGUACUAUUAAUUAUUAUUUUUUAUAGAUGAAAUCAUUGACGGAUUGAAAAUCCAUCAGUGUUAUUUGACGAGUUUCUGAAAUUUUUUGAUUAAAUUAAAUAUUACAGUCACAGAUGGAAUCACCGACAGAUUGAAAAGUCAUAGGUGAUAUUUGACGGUUUCUGAAAAUUUUGUAUUAAAUUAAAAAUUUAAAUUAACUAUUACAGACGGAAUAAUUAACUGAAUAAUUAAAAUAUUAAUAUUUAAUUAUUCAUCCGUAAAAUGCCUAAUAAAAAAACUAGAAUUCAUUAUUUCACAAUAGACUUGCCCUUUUUUUCUUCUUCUUUUUUUUUUUUAAAAAAAACCAUCAACAUCUCUUUUUUCUCUUCUCUUCUCUCCUCAACUCCUUAUUUAUUUAUUUAAACGCAGCUUUUGAUUUUUGCUUUAAUGCUACAUUUGUUUAUGAGAUUACGUCUGCGUUUGAAGCAAAACACAGGAGCAAUAUGUUUGGUAAUGAAAAAAACAUCAUUUACUGUUCAUGGACCCCAUUGUUAUCUGCCUUUGCAAUGGAGGAUGAGACAAAGUAGCUCUUCGUUGCUUCUGUGGAGAGUGAACAGUGGAGGGUGAGUCCACUGUUCUGGCUGGACUGGGUCCGGUUCAAAGUAUGCAUUAACCUAGUUCGAUCCAGCAAAAUAAAAAAAUUAUUUUUAUUUUUUAUUGUGUUUUAUUCAAUGUUUAAUAUUAUUCAAUGACAUUACAUAAACUAUAUGGGGAUUGCUUAAUGACGUAGUAUUUGUAGAAUUUAAUUUUAAUCCCACUUAAACUUAUUCUACUGUACACAUAACCCGAUGCUGCGGAUUAUGUUUUUUAUAAAAAAUAUUAAAAAUUUUAGCUGCAAAGCUAUACUAAAAAAUAUUGAGUUUGGCUCCAACACCUAAUCUAAGAGUAAUAUUUAUAAUGUUAAUAAUAAAAUUAAACUUGCAUGACUUAAGUUUAAGUGAGUCUGGCUAAAAGACCAGACCCAAGAAUAUUGGAUGUGAGUCUGGCUAUAAGAUCGUGUUAUAAAAAUAUGAUAAUUAAAUAGAUUAAUUAAAAAAAUAAAAAAAAAUCAACAGAAAGGAAAAAACUAAUAAAGAAAAAGAAAAAAAUUGAAUUAAUUAGGUUAACCCUUUAAACUAGGUUAUCCCGUAAAACCUGAGAUUCACGUCAUGAAAGUUUGAUAAUUAAAUAGAAAAAAAAAAGACUGGUUUACCCAGAAUUAACUGGGUUAACCCAUCAAACCAAGUUAACCCGUCAAGCCUAGGAUACGUGUUAUGAAAGUAUGAAAGUCUGAUAAUUAAAUAAAAAAAAUUGACUUUAACAAACUAAACUAAAUGAAAAAAAUAACUCAUCAAAUCAAGUUAACCUAUCAAACCCGAGAUCCGUAUUAUGAAAAUCUGGUAACUAAAUAAAAAAUUAACAUUAACAAACUAAAUCAAACAAAAAAAUUCAUUAAAAAAAUUAAAAAGAAAAAAAUAGUUAUAUAAUAUAAUGUAAUAUAAUAAUAAUAAUAAUAAUAAUAAUAAUAAUAAGUAAGUAUAUUAGUAAAAGGCAUGACAUGCCCACACGAUGCCGCGGGCUUGUGGCAUGCUUGUACAUUAUCGUGGAUUUGUGAAAAAAAUCAUAUAAAAAAAUAUAGUUAUCAUCCACAAUAUUUUAAAGAAAAAAACUACAAAGCUAUAUUCUCAACCAGUUCAAUAUUAAAAAAACAAAAUCGACAAAAACAAUUAUGAAAAAAAACACACAAAAAAUGAAAACAAGAAGAUGACAAUUUUGGAAGAAAAAAAACAAAAAACAAAUAAUAAAAAAAAAGGAAAAAAAACAUGUGGGGAAAGUUAAAGCUAAAUUUUCAAUCAUCUCAAUAUUAAAAUCAUUUAAAAAAACAUUGUAACGAUCUAAAGUGUUUUGUGUAAAAAUAUAUAACUAUAAUUGUUAACCAGCUCAAUAUUAAAAAAAAUCAAUAAAGAUAAUUUUAAUAGAAAAUAAUUGGAUGUUGACAAGAAGAAGUAGAAAAUGUGCAAGAAUAACCAAAAGCAGGGAUGAGGAGACAGCAGUGUUGGAUGAGAAAUGGCAAAGGUGAAAGUCUGGUGAUGGUCUUUACUGUUGCUAUUGAUCAAUUCUUCAUUACAUUAAAUGAAGGACGAAUUUUUUGCUUUUAGAAGGUGUGAUGUGUGCUUUAAACAAAAAACCCACCAUACCUCACAUAUUAAAGCGUGUUUAGUAGUAUGAUAAUAGUUACUUUUUAAAUAAUUUUUUAUGUUGAAAUGUAUAUCAAUGAUGUUUUUUUAUUUUUGUUAAAAAUCAUUUUUAAUAUCAGCAUAUUAAAACGAUCCAAAAAAUAUAAACUGUAUUAAAUUUUAAUAAAAAAAAUAAAAAAAACUUUUGAAUUUUUUAAAAACAUAGGUUGAACCGCGUUUCUAAACACUGCCUACGCUCGACUAUUAUAUUGAUUAGGCUCCACACGGUCGAGACUUGACUAGCUGUGCUUACAAUAAAGCAAUUCAAUUUUCAAAGAAGGAACAUGGCUGUGAUUUGAAGACAAGAUUUGUCUGCCGGUGUGAACCCAAACUUUUGUUCAAAAUGUGAGCCAAAAUCCAAUCUAAAUUAAAUUUUUGUUCAGAAUUGAAUUUUUAUAUAAAUUUUUGUUCUCAUUUUUAUUUUGCUUUUCCCUUAUCAUUUUUUAAUUAGAAUUUUUUAUCUAUCAAAUCUGGUCCUUAUUCUUUUAAUUGUUAUAUAUUUUAUUUAAAAUAAUUUAUGAAAUUAUUAUUAUUAUUAUUAUUUUAAUUUUUUCAUCUUUUAAUUUUUUAAUUUUUUAGAUUUAAUCUCUAUUAUUUUGAUUAUUAUUUAUUUUAUUUAAGAUAAUUUAUAAAAUUAUAUAUUUUUUAAUUUCAUUCUCAUUCAACUUUUUUAAUUUAUAAAAUUUGUUCCUAAUUAUUUUAAUAAACUUGAAAAAAUAAAAUAUUAAUAAGUUAUUUUCCAGCUUAUUUUCCACGACAUAAUCAAAUACUAGAAUAUAUUUUCUAACUUAUUUUUUAUUACAUUACCAAACAUUAAAAAAUAAUUUAUUUUUUUAGAAUUUAAUUCAUAAAAAAAAUUACUUUUCAAUAAAUAAACAGGGAUUUAACUAACACCUCCCGAGUCCUAACGGAUAUUAUGGACCCGCAGGGUACAUAUUGCCCCUCAUGAUCUUGCUUUCUUCUUCUAGGGCCCGCAUGUUGAUAUUGACCAUCUUGGGCACUUCCGUUCUCCAUUGCCAGAGACGUUCGAGGCAGUGAAGCUCCCCAUCCCGCAUUAACGGUGGUUCUUCCCAUGAUGUUCUUCUAACUUUUUCCAAGUCCUGAGAAAAUAAGCUUACAAAAAGUGAAGGUUAUAAAAUUGUCAUUCAGUAUCUUCCAGUUGAUGAAUAAUACUCAUAUCUCGUCUCGUAAUUAGACGUAAUGUAUAUAACGUGGCAUUAGUUAAUUGGAAUUAAAAUAGAUUGUUUUAAAAAAAUCACCAGCAGAAUUAGAUAUAAUAUUUUUAUUAGUUAUAUAAUAAGAUUUUCAAAAACGUUACUAGCAAAAUAAAACAAGUAAUUUUUUUUAAUGUUUUUCUGUCAGUAAAUUCAUCGAUAAUAAUAUUUUUUUUAUUACAAAUAAAUAAAAAAUUAUUGAUAAAAAUUUAUUGACAGAGGUAUUUUUAUCUAUAAUUUUGUUAAUAAAUUAAUUACUAAUAAAAUAAUAACAUAAAUACUAAUAAAAAAAUUUCAUUCAUAAAUAUAAAAAUUUUAAUAGUGGAUAAUGGCCUGGUAGAGCUCGUGUCUUGACAAAGUCUAAAAAUGACAAGUGACAAGUGACAAGUUGACAACUUGUCAAAUUCAUAUACAACUUGGUUGAGUAGCCGCACAAUAAAAAAAAAAUAAAAAAAAAUGCUGAUGUAUCAGUUUUAGUAAGAAAAUACCAGCAUUUAGAACCCUAUCGGACAUUCAAUUUCGUUUUAUUUGCGGUGAUAUGUUCUAUCAAUUCAUAAUUAUCGAUUCGAUUUAUCUAAUUAAUUUUUAUUUUUUUUAUAUAAUAAAAAACAACUUCGUUUAUUUAUGUUUAGUUAAUUAUUUAUAACUUUUAUGCCUAAACGAGCCUGGACUUAGAUCGAAUCAGAUGACGAGCCUGGUCUCAUAACUUAGCCUUGAAGUUUAUUCUGUUAGAUCAUUAUUGUUUACUGUGUUAGGCAACAGAUAUCCCUCUAUUCAUACUCAGCUUAAUUUUUCAAUUUCGACUUUUAAAAAUAUGGAGAGAUAUAUGUCAAAUUCCUAUCGGUUCUGAUUUUAAGGAAAAAUAAAAAUUUAUUAAGAAUUAAAAAAAUUCAAAAAUGCUAUUUUUAAUAUAAUUUGAAAAAAUAUUUUAAACUUUGUUUUAUAAAGCUAAAAAAUUACUAAAAAAUAUAUUUAAUUUAUAUUCAUGUAUACAACACUUGUUAAUUUAUUUAAUACUUGUUAAUUUAUUUUUUAACUUUAUUUAAAGCCAACAAUGAUUAAAAAAUAUAUUUAAUUUUUAUAACACUUUUUUAUGUAUUCAAUAAAAUUUUCGUGAAAAAUUAAAUUGAAAAAUCAUGGCUAUGAAAAAUAAAAAAUACUCAUUUACUCCCUCAAAUAUGUUUCAUCAGUAAAUCCAUAAUUUUUCUUCGCUGAAUAUCAUUAGAUUUUCAUAAAAAGAUAUGAUUAUAAAGGUGAACAUCUUAGUGAUUUUUUAAAUUUUAUUAUUAUUUUUAGAGUUCUUAAUAAGAUUUUUUUAAAAUUAGAACCAAUAGAAAUCUAACUCGUGUUCUUCCAUAUCUUUAAAAGACAAAAUUAAUGAAAUAUUAGGCUUACUCUGAACAGAGAGAUCUAUACUGCAUGCCUAGUAGACAAAAUCAUAGAAACCCAAUUAUAUAAAUUAAAACCAUGAGGCUAUCUUUAUCAAAUAUCAAUAUAUCAGAGAGAUUCAUAGUACCAUUAAACCAAAGUUAUACCUAAACUUGUCAUGCAAUAAAACACGUGCAUAUUCAUACAAUAAAAAUAAUAAAUAGACGUAUUUCUCCCUUUCUAUUACAAAGAUCAUUGCAAUACUUAGUCGAUGUAAACGGAAGGGAUGUGAGCUAUCUUAGGCCAGUCCUCUCCUCGCUCCUUCUCGCACCUUUUCUUCAAAUUUGGACAAUUGCGCGAAUCAUCAACUCGCUGAGGUUGCUGAGACUCUGUAGCCCUUCUGGCAAACAUACCAAAUUAGGGCAAUACUGAAUUUCCAGGCGUGAAAGGGAUAUGAGAUAACCAAUUUGAUUUGGCAAGGAAGUUAAUCCCUUGCAUUUAUUGAGUCCUAGAUAUCGGAGAGAAGUAAGAUGUUGGAUACUCUUUGGCCAUGAAUUCAGCUCUGGACAAAAUUCAAGCUUCAAAAAUUCAAGUGCCGUCAGAUAUUGCACUCCCUCGGACAGAGACACAAAUUUAUCACAUUUUCUAACAGAUAAUAUACGAAGAGAAGAUAAGCCGGACAACCCAUUCAUUGGCAGGGUGUAUAAUCUUGUACAACUAUUUAUAUCUAAAAUCUCCAAAGAAGUGAGUUUUCGAAGACCUUCCUCUGGCAAGCUUUCAAGUUCAUCAAAAUGCACGACACUCAACCUUUUAAGAGCUGAAAGGUUGUCAAAUACCUUGUCAAAAGACGGUAGAUUUCUCAUCCAACCCAUACAUAAGAACUCGAGGAGUGUAUGAUUUUGCAAGAACCCAUCUGGAAGCAGCCUCACAUCAAUCCCUCCAAUAUCAAGGUAUGUGAUAGAAGUAAAUUUCAUAACUGACAUCAGUAACGAAGCAUUGCCUCCAUCGAUGAAUAACCUUUUGACGGAAGGUAUAAUUGGUAUUUCGGUCAACAAGGGGCAACGAACUACAGAUAAUUCUCGAAGACGAGGAAAACUACACGGAGCCCAUUGCUCUAGUCUCUUCAUUGAAAUAAAUUUCAGCCUCUCCAA